CUGGGAGGACCAUCUCCUAAGGCUAAAUACUCUCUAGUGACCGAUAGUGAACCAGUACCGUGAGGGAAAGGUGAAAAGCACCCCGGAAGGGGAGUGAAAUAGAACCUGAAACCGUGUGCUUACAAGUAGUCAGAGCCCGUUAAUGGGUGAUGGCGUGCCUUUUGUAGAAUGAACCGGCGAGUUACGAUUUGAUGCAAGGUUAAGCAGUAAAUGUGGAGCCGUAGCGAAAGCGAGUCUGAAUAGGGCGUUUAGUAUUUGGUCGUAGACCCGAAACCAGGUGAUCUACCCUUGGUCAGGUUGAAGUUCAGGUAACACUGAAUGGAGGACCGAACCGACUUACGUUGAAAAGUGAGCGGAUGAACUGAGGGUAGCGGAGAAAUUCCAAUCGAACCUGGAGAUAGCUGGUUCUCUCCGAAAUAGCUUUAGGGCUAGCCUCAAGUGAUGAUUAUUGGAGGUAGAGCACUGUUUGGACGAGGGGCCCCUCUCGGGUUACCGAAUUCAGACAAACUCCGAAUGCCAAUUAAUUUAACUUGGGAGUCAGAACAUGGGUGAUAAGGUCCGUGUUCGAAAGGGAAACAGCCCAGACCACCAGCUAAGGUCCCAAAAUAUAUGUUAAGUGGAAAAGGAUGUGGCGUUGCCCAGACAACUAGGAUGUUGGCUUAGAAGCAGCCAUCAUUUAAAGAGUGCGUAAUAGCUCACUAGUCGAGUGACACUGCGCCGAAAAUGUACCGGGGCUAAACAUAUUACCGAAGCUGUGGAUUGUCCUUUGGACAAUGGUAGGAGAGCGUUCUAAGGGCGUUGAAGCAUGAUCGUAAGGACAUGUGGAGCGCUUAGAAGUGAGAAUGCCGGUGUGAGUAGCGAAAGACGGGUGAGAAUCCCGUCCACCGAUUGACUAAGGUUUCCAGAGGAAGGCUCGUCCGCUCUGGGUUAGUCGGGUCCUAAGCUGAGGCCGACAGGCGUAGGCGAUGGAUAACAGGUUGAUAUUCCUGUACCACCUAUAAUCGUUUUAAUCGAUGGGGGGACGCAGUAGGAUAGGCGAAGCGUGCGAUUGGAUUGCACGUCUAAGCAGUAAGGCUGAGUAUUAGGCAAAUCCGGUACUCGUUAAGGCUGAGCUGUGAUGGGGAGAAGACAUUG
Molecule: ribosomal RNA, 1134 nt
Filed under: Staphylococcus aureus
Lineage: Bacteria; Bacillati; Bacillota; Bacilli; Caryophanales; Staphylococcaceae
Description: partial 23S ribosomal RNA
Rfam family: Bacterial large subunit ribosomal RNA
Source: RNAcentral